CCGCCGGCCGCUCUCCCCCGUCCACGCGGACUCCCUGCGCCCAUCCCUCGUCGAAUCCGAGCACCUCCAGCGAGAUGCAUGGCUUCCCAUCGAGCUCGGACCGGCGCCGCCACCUCCUUUGCGCCUCCUGACAGGCGGCGACCGUCAGGGCUCGUGCCCGACCUCCACUCACGACGAGCUUCACCCGCGGCUGCGCCUUUCCCGACGAGCACCGCCACCACACCUCGCUGCCUCGGUCCGACGAGGAGCUUCCCCGACCAAUGCCUCCUUGCCCCGACGAGGAGUUUCCCUGAUCCGCCCCUCCCACCCCAAGCAACGCCCUGACCCGGCCCCGACCCGCGCCCUCCGCCGCCCAACAUGCCUUGCGCGUGACCUUUCUCCGAUGUGGAUCGGAUGCAGGAGGGAGAGAGAAGAAUUUGGGAGAGAGGGGAGCGUGGGGGAAGAAGAAGGUGGUGGCUCAAUGGCAGGUGGGACCGGUUAGAAUCAAUGGAUUUGGGUACUCAUUUUUAGUGGCAGAAUCGAGCGGGUCAAAUCCUACUGGUGGAGCAAUCAACGAGAUGGAGAUGGUGCUGUGACCUUUGACUGCUGCGACCCAGCUUUCACUGGCUGAUCUGACGGCAUACAUACGUGCAUGAUGGUGUCCCCAGAAGGCCACUAGUGUUUUCCGGCAUCGGGUGUGCCAAAGACAUCAGCGGAAUAUCCACAAGGAAGUUCUCAUUCCGAUUGAUAACUUCAGUCUUGCAGUCAAACCAGAAUUGCAUUGGGUCAGUCAGCGUAUCCCGUUCGAUUGCUUAAGGGCUUGCCUCCAGACUUGCAGAGUUUCUUUUGGAACAUACAGCUUACAAGUUACAAACUUACAACGAAGCAAAAUGGUACUCUCCGUUUCUAGAUAUAGAUGUACAGUGUACUCCACUAGAUUUGUCUUAAUUCACUAUCAACAUCUGCAACUCUAAAUUAGUUUUGUCAAAUCCGUCAUGUUAUAUA
Molecule: long non-coding RNA, 984 nt
Organism: Brachypodium distachyon (stiff brome)
Lineage: Eukaryota; Viridiplantae; Streptophyta; Magnoliopsida; Poales; Poaceae
Exons: 2
Source: RefSeq, a predicted model, not a curated record